GACGAACGCUGGCGGCGUGCUUAACACAUGCAAGUCGAACGAAGUGGCGAACGGGUGAGUAACGCGUAAUCAACUUGCCCUUCAGAGGGGGACAACAGUUGGAAACGACUGCUAAUACCGCAUACUGAAGGUGGGGAUUGCGUCUGAUUAGCUAGUUGGAGGGGUAACGGCCCACCAAGGCGAUGAUCAGUAGACGGUCUGGGAGGAUGGACGGCCACAUUGGGACUGGGACAAGGCCCAGACUCCUACGGGAGGCAGCAGGGGGGAAUCUUCCGCAAUGGGCGAAAAUCUGGCGGAGCAAAGCCGCGUGAGUGAAGACAGCGUUCGGGUUGUAAAGCUCUGUUAAUCGGGACGCGGUACCGAAAUAGAAAGCCACGGCUAACUACGUGCCAGCAGCCGCGGUAAUUC
RNAcentral lists this ribosomal RNA (408 nucleotides) under uncultured bacterium. RNAcentral describes it as "partial 16S ribosomal RNA". It matches the Rfam family "Bacterial small subunit ribosomal RNA", at positions 28 to 526 of the family's 1533-position model. The record is from RNAcentral.